UACGGAGGGGGCGAGUGUUGUUCGGAAUUACUGGGCGUAAAGGGCGCGCAGGCGGCAUGGCAAGUCGAGUGUGAAAUCCCUUGGCUUAACUAAGGAAUGGCGCUCGAAACUACCGCGCUGGAGGGCGGGAGAGGGAAGUGGAACUCUCGGUGUAGGGGUGAAAUCUGUAGAUAUCGAGAGGAACACCGGUGGCGAAGGCGGCUUCCUGGCCCGUACCUGACGCUGAGGCGCGAAAGCGUGGGGAGCAAACAGG
RNAcentral lists this ribosomal RNA (253 nucleotides) under uncultured bacterium. RNAcentral describes it as "partial 16S ribosomal RNA". It matches the Rfam family "Bacterial small subunit ribosomal RNA", at positions 524 to 776 of the family's 1533-position model. The record is from RNAcentral.